AACUUCUUCUGAAGUUGACCUCGAAUCAGGUAGGAAUACCCGCUGAACUUAAGCAUAUCAAUAAGCGGAGGAAAAGAAACCAACAGGGAUUGCCCCAGUAACGGCGAGUGAAGCGGCAACAGCUCAAAUUUGAAAUCUGGCUCUCGGGCCCGAGUUGUAAUUUGUAGAGGAUGCUUUUGGUGAGGUGCCUUCCGAGUUCCCUGGAACGGGACGCCAUAGAGGGUGAGAGCCCCGUCUGGUUGGACGCCGAACCUCUGUAAAGCUCCUUCGACGAGUCGAGUAGUUUGGGAAUGCUGCUCUAAAUGGGAGGUAUAUGUCUUCUAAAGCUAAAUACCGGCCAGAGACCGAUAGCGCACAAGUAGAGUGAUCGAAAGAUGAAAAGAACUUUGAAAAGAGAGUUAAACAGUACGUGAAAUUGUUGAAAGGGAAGCGCUUGUGACCAGACUUGGGCUUGGUUGAUCAUCCGGGGUUCUCCCCGGUGCACUCUUCCGGCCUAGGCCAGCAUCAGUUCGCCCUGGGGGAUAAAGGCUUCGGGAACGUGGCUCUCUCCGGGGAGUGUUAUAGCCCGCUGCGUAAUACCCUGUGGCGGACUGA
RNAcentral lists this ribosomal RNA (594 nucleotides) under Fusarium sp. FSSC_12a. RNAcentral's name for it is "eukaryotic LSU rRNA". It matches the Rfam family "Eukaryotic large subunit ribosomal RNA", at positions 1 to 591 of the family's 3401-position model. Lineage: Eukaryota; Fungi; Ascomycota; Sordariomycetes; Hypocreales; Nectriaceae. The record is from RNAcentral.